RNAcentral lists this ribosomal RNA (431 nucleotides) under uncultured bacterium. Its description in RNAcentral is "partial 16S ribosomal RNA". It matches the Rfam family "Bacterial small subunit ribosomal RNA", at positions 29 to 505 of the family's 1533-position model. The record is from RNAcentral.
AACGAACGCUGGCGGCAGGCCUAACACAUGCAAGUCGAGCGAGGACUUCGGUUCUAGCGGCGGACGGGUGAGUAACGCGUGGGAAUGUGCCCUUCUCUACGGAAUAGCCCUGGGAAACUGGGAGUAAUACCGUAUACGCCCUAUUGGGGAAAGAUUUAUCGGAGAAGGAUCAGCCCGCGUUGGAUUAGGUAGUUGGUGGGGUAAUGGCCUACCAAGCCGACGAUCCAUAGCUGGUUUGAGAGGAUGAUCAGCCACACUGGGACUGAGACACGGCCCAGACUCCUACGGGAGGCAGCAGUGGGGAAUCUUAGACAAUGGGGGCAACCCUGAUCUAGCCAUGCCGCGUGAGGGAUGAAGGCCUUAGGGUUGUAAAGCUCUUUCAGCUGGGAAGAUAAUGACGGUACCAGCAGAAGAAGCCCCGGCUAACUCCG